CUGGUUGAUCCUGCCAGUAGUCAUAUGCUUGUCUCAAAGACUUAGCCAUGCAUGUAUAAGUUCACACCUUAAAACGGUGAAACCGCGAAUGGCUCAUUAAAUCAGCUAUGGUUCCUUAGAUCUUACAUCCUUACUUGGAUAACUGUGGUAAUUCUAGAGCUAAUACAUGCCAAAGAGCCUUGACUUUUUAAAAGUUGGGGUGGAUUUAUUAGAACAAAACCAACCGGUUUACGCCGUUGAUUUGAUGACUCUGGAUAACUUUUCUGAUCGCACGGCCUUGUGCCAGCGACGUAUCUUUCAAGUGUCUGCCCUAUCAACUGUGAUGGUAGGUGAUAUGCCUACCAUGGUUAUAACGGGUAACGGGGAAUCAGGGUUCGAUUCCGGAGAGGGAGCCUUAGAAAUGGCUACCACAUCUAAGGAAGGCAGCAGGCGCGCAAAUUACCCACUCUCAGCUCGAGGAGGUAGUGACGAAAAAUAACAAUACGGGACUCAUACGAGGCCCCGUAAUUGGAAUGAGUACAAUUUAAAUCGUUUAACGAGUACCAAUUGGAGGGCAAGUCUGGUGCCAGCAGCCGCGGUAACUCCAGCUCCAAUAGCGUAUAUUAAAGUUGCUGCAGUUAAAAAGCUCGUAGUUGGAUCUCAGGCUAGGAGCCGGUGGUACGCCUUGCGGCGUUACUGCUAGUUUCCGCCUCAUCAGUCGUAUGUUAUUUUAUGUGCCCUUAAUCGGGUGCGUAAAAUGCUCGGCACGUUUACUUUGAACAAAUUAGAGUGCUCAAAGCAAGCCUUGUGCUUGAAUACUUAUGCAUGGAAUAAUGAAAUAGGACUUCGUUUCUAUUUUGUUGGUUUUCGGUUACGAAGUAAUGAUUAAAAGAGACAGACGGGGGCAUCUGUAUGGUGGUGUUAGAGGUGAAAUUCGAUGAUCGCCGCCAGACAAACAACUGCGAAAGCAUUUGCCAAGGAUGUUUUCAUUAAUCAAGAACGAAAGUCAGAGGUUCGAAGACGAUCAGAUACCGUCCUAGUUCUGACCAUAAACGAUGCCAACUGACAAUCAGGGUCUACAUUAUCAUUUUACCCUGGCAGUCCCUGGGAAACCUUUAAGUCUACAGGUUCUGGGGGAAGUAUGGUUGCAAGGCUGAAACUUAAAGGAAUUGACGGAAGGGCACCACCAGGAGUGGAGCCUGCGGCUUAAUUUGACUCAACACGGGAAAACUCACCCGGCCCGGACACUGUGAGGAUUGACAGAUUGAUAGCUCUUUCUUGAUUCAGUGGGUGGUGGUGCAUGGCCGUUCUUAGUUGGUGGAGUGAUUUGUCAGGUUAAUUCCGAUAACGAACGAGACUCUAGCCUGCUAAAUAGUUAACACAUGCAUAGCUGUGUUCGUUAACUUCUUAGAGGGAUACGUUGCGUUGAGCGACAUGAAAUUGAGCAAUAACAGGUCUGUGAUGCCCUUAGAUGUUCGGGGCCGCACGCGCGCUACACUGACGAUAUCAAUGAGUAUCAUCCUGGGCCGAGAGGUUCGGGAAAUCUUAUGAAUUAUCGUCAUGUCAGGGAUUGGGGCUUGUAAUUAUUCCCCAUGAACGAGGAAUUCCCAGUAAGCGCAAGUCAUAAGCUUGCGCUGAUUACGUCCCUGCCCUUUGUACACACCGCCCGUCGCUACUACCGAUUGAAUGCUUUGGUGAGGCCUUUGGAUUGAGCCUAUUAGAGUGGUUUCGCUUUAUGUGGUUCGAAAAAAUCGUCAAACUUGGUCAUUUAGAGGAAGUAAAAGUCGUAACAAGGUUUCCGUAGGUGAACCUGCAGAUGGAU
RNAcentral lists this ribosomal RNA (1801 nucleotides) under Karkinorhynchus bruneti. Its description in RNAcentral is "SSU rRNA". It matches the Rfam family "Eukaryotic small subunit ribosomal RNA". Lineage: Eukaryota; Metazoa; Platyhelminthes; Rhabdocoela; Karkinorhynchidae. The record is from RNAcentral.